Molecule: long non-coding RNA, 704 nt
Organism: Oreochromis niloticus (Nile tilapia)
Lineage: Eukaryota; Metazoa; Chordata; Actinopteri; Cichliformes; Cichlidae
Exons: 2
Source: RefSeq, a predicted model, not a curated record
UACACCUUCACUGUUGAUAAAUAUUUCUCUCACUGCAGUUUCUUUUAGCUGGAGUAAAUGGCAACACAUCGAAGGUGGAUACACAGUAGAGAUGUUUUAAAAAGCAGCGAGGACAGUUCACUUGCAGUGCCUCACCCGUCACUUCUCACGGAGUGGGUAGAUGACAUGAAACUAUGGCCCGAUGUUAGCUACAUCGACAUUAUUAAUUACCUUGUAUUUUCCGAAGGCGUUGAUGGCGAGGAAUUACGUAAUUACAAGAGCACCGAGGCGUAUAAUUACCUGCACAGCAACAAAAUUGAUAAAGUACUGCUCAACAAACAAGGCGACUUUAUUUUUCUUAAAGCAGCUGUAGAGCCGAGCCAGAGCAUUAAUCAAGCGAAACACUUAGCAUGGGUAAUGCUAAGAGAAAGUGGAGUAGUGGAGACAGUCGGCUGUUCCUGUAUCGCCGGAUUAGGGAGAUCAUGUAGUCAUGCGGCUGCUAUUCUGUGGAAGGUGCAGAAUGCUGUGAUCAGUGGAAAGACAGGGCUUGCGUGUACAGAUGAGCAGCGCAGGUGGAAUGCAGGGACAGCAAAGAACCUUGAACCUAAACGUCUAAGCCAGAUAAACCUCAGACAUCACAGGGCAGAGCAGCAGUACGAUGUGAACUCCCGGACUGCAGUGACACAAUCUCUCCCUAACACACCAUAUCACCUUACACAUCAAGA